UACGUAGGGUGCAAGCGUUGCCCGGAAUUACUGGGCGUAAAGCGCACGUAGGCGGAUACUUAAGUCAGGGGUGAAAUCCCGGGGCUCAACCCCGGAACUGCCUUUGAUACUGGGUAUCUCGAGUCCGGAAGAGGUGAGUGGAAUUCCGAGUGUAGAGGUGAAAUUCGUAGAUAUUCGGAGGAACACCGGUGGCGAAGGCGGCGUCCUGGACCAAUACUGACACUGAGUGAGCGAAAGCCAGGGGAGCAAACGGG
Molecule: ribosomal RNA, 254 nt
Filed under: uncultured bacterium
Lineage: Bacteria
Description: partial 16S ribosomal RNA
Rfam family: Bacterial small subunit ribosomal RNA
Source: RNAcentral